GACGAACGCUGGCGGCGUGCCUAAUACAUGCAAGUAGGACGCAGUUGGGAACGGGAGAGUAACGCGUAGGUAACUGCAUAUUAGAGGGGGCUAACUAUUGGAAACGAUAGCUAAUACCGCAUACUAGUAGAUGGACCUGCGAUGUAGUAGCUAGUAGGUAGGGUAAUGGCCUACCUAGGCGGCGAUACAUAGCCGAGCUGAGAAGGUGGUCGGCCACACUUGGACUGAGAAACGGCCCCGAAUCCUACGGGGGGGAGCAGUAGGGAAUCUUCGGCCAUGGGGGGAACGCCUACCGAGCAACGCCGCGGGAGUGAAGAAGGUUUUCGGGUCGUUAAGCUCUGUUGUUAAGGAAGCGGUACUUAACCAGAAAGGGACGGCUAACUACGUGCCAGCAGCCGCGGUAAUUC
Molecule: ribosomal RNA, 407 nt
Filed under: uncultured bacterium
Lineage: Bacteria
Description: partial 16S ribosomal RNA
Rfam family: Bacterial small subunit ribosomal RNA
Source: RNAcentral